GUGUCAGCCGCCGCGGUAAUACGUAGGGUGCAAGCGUUGUCCGGAAUUAUUGGGCGUAAAGAGCUCGUAGGCGGUCUGUCGCGUCGGAUGUGAAAAUCCAGGGCUCAACCCUGGACCUGCAUUCGAUACGGGCAGACUAGAGUUCGGUAGGGGAGACUGGAAUUCCUGGUGUAGCGGUGAAAUGCGCAGAUAUCAGGAGGAACACCGGUGGCGAAGGCGGGUCUCUGGGCCGAAACUGACGCUGAGGAGCGAAAGCGUGGGGAGCGAACAGGAUUAGAAACCCUCGUAGUCC
This 292-nucleotide ribosomal RNA is filed under the name uncultured bacterium. RNAcentral describes it as "partial 16S ribosomal RNA". It matches the Rfam family "Bacterial small subunit ribosomal RNA", at positions 505 to 796 of the family's 1533-position model. The record is from RNAcentral.